Molecule: long non-coding RNA, 267 nt
Filed under: Calidris pygmaea (Spoon-billed sandpiper)
Lineage: Eukaryota; Metazoa; Chordata; Aves; Charadriiformes; Scolopacidae
Description: lncRNA (ENSCPGG00000009060.1)
Source: RNAcentral
GCCAAGGAGCCUUUGGCUGCUCAAGCCCUCAGCCAGAGCUAAGGAGAUUAAGGAGAGGGAACCCAUGAAGUUCCUCCAGGGUUUUAUCAUUAAGUGUGAACAAUGCUGGCAUCUCCUGGGACAGCGUUACAUUGUGAAAGGAGAAGCCAAGGGCUAGAUAUACUCAAAGACAAAGUCAACCAUGGCAGCCUGCAAAUUCAUAGAGGCACCAUAGAGGAACCAAACCGUGAGACCUCCUACUUGAAGAUGACUAAAGGAAAGAAAGCC